Nomascus leucogenys (northern white-cheeked gibbon) is the source of this 1842-nucleotide long non-coding RNA. RefSeq lists it as uncharacterized. The record is from RefSeq and is a predicted model, not a curated record. The transcript is spliced from 3 exons. Lineage: Eukaryota; Metazoa; Chordata; Mammalia; Primates; Hylobatidae.
CUCUUCAAGUGGCCUGGGAGCGCGCGCAUGCGCGCUGCUGGGAACCGGCCGGGGUGCCGGGUCGAACGUCAGACGCCCGGGCCCGGCGAGCGCGGGCUCGGCGGAGGGCGGGAAGGCUGAAGGGCGGUGACAGGACGCACCGCCUCGCGAGGGCCAGAACGCCCAUUUCUGCAGAGGCAGAGGGUGAGGAGUCACGCCCUCUCUCACCAGAUUUUGGGCGGCCCUGUGGAGACACCCUGUGCCCUUUAAGGGACAUGGAUUGAGUCGGGACCUCAAAAUCUGCCUUAAUCCAUGUUCCCUUCGGGAUGCUGGUAUCCAACUGAGAAGUUUAUGGAGCACCUAUCAUGUGCCAGGCACUGUGCUAAGUGCUAGCGAGAAAUCGGUGAGCAAAACAGAAAAGAAAAAAAAAGAAGAAAAGACUGCCAGCAUUGAACUUAGAACCUAGCAAAGUAGAUGGACAUAAAUCAAAUUAUCAGACAAGUAAAUGAGGAGUCGCAGCUGUGGUAAGGGGUAUGAAGAAUAGGCGCUUCCAUGAUGGCGGAACAUGACCUAGUCUGGGGUGGAGAAGGGGAGAUGAUUCCAGCUGGAAUAUGGCAGGUGAGAGUUAACUGAUAGCACUGAAUCGGCAGAAGCAGGAUGACCUGCCCCAGGCAGGUGCCCCAGAAUGAGAGGAUGUUGCUGCUGGUGGAACUCCAGCUUUAAAGCAGUGGAUCUAGGGCCACAUUCCUCAAGGCCAUAGCAAACAGGAAAGACCUUUUGGACUAGGGUCUUUGGAGUAGUCACAUGAGGCCAAGACCCCAAUAGGGCUGAAAGAGAAUCUCUUCAUAGGCUGAAUGUGAGCAGAGCAUUAGCUGCAACUCCAAUGUAUUAUAGUAAAAGGGGACACAUUGAUUAGAAUGAUUAUACCCCUCCAAGUGUAAGCUGUUGUUCAAUUUACCCAGGGCUUAAAAAUAUGUCAACUCUUCACAACCAUUUUUACUACAAGCCACACUCAACCUGUGUUGUUCCCUGAACCUGUGAUGCACUUUCAUCCGUUCAUGUCUCUACACAUCCUUCCUGGGCCCCAUAGAGGCCCUGCACCUUAAGGUUUUCAGCUGCAUUCCUAUUAGCUAGUUAUUUUAUCGCAGGUACAGAGAGUUAACUUUGCUUCUCAAUUUUCAGCACAUUGUCAUAUCAGUCCCUACAAGGUCCUUGUUUAUAUUAUUUUAUAGUGUUUAUAUUAUUUUUUCCUCAUCUUUCUCGAUCCCCACUCUCAUUCUUCUAGACACAAACUGCAAUAUGUUCGAUAGAGAUCGUUGAUAAUUUAAGACAGAUAAUGUUUUGUUUAUGCCUCUUGCAUUUACAGAGAUGGUAUUGGACUGUAAAUCUCUAUUUCCCACUGUUUUACUCAACACUCUGUUUUUGAGCUAUACCCACAUUGCUGUGUGUACACCUAGUUUGCUACCGAGUAUGCCAGAAAUUUUAUUCAUACAUAUCCCUACUGAUCGGGCAUCUAGGUUACUGCCAACUCCCUGAAGUCAUACUGUGGUGAAAACCCUUGUGAAUGUCUUUACAAACCUUUGCCAGAACUUAUUUUGUGCUCUUGUAGAACUUUGUGCAUACCCUCGGCUUCCUCAUUACACUGCUUGGCAUAUAGCAGGGACUCAACAAAUGUUGAAUACCUCUACUAUGAUGGUUAGUGUACUAGAAUUUUAUUUAUAUUUCUGUUUUCCUUAUUGGAUUAUUAGUACCUUCCAGACAGGGCAAAUGUCUUUUCUAUCUUUGUGUCCCUGGCACAUUAAAAGUGGUUGAUUUCAAGGUAUGUUCAAUGAAUGAAUAAAUACUUAUCCUCACUGCCAGUAC